CUGGACAUGUAGAGCCUUUUACUGAGACUGUAGCUCUUCAGGCUUCUUACUUUAUUUGAGGUCUCAGUUCCAAUUUUCCAGCUUAUUCAGGCUGAAUAUCUAGUCUUCUGUUCCCUGCAGGGCCAUUAAAACUCCAGCUUGUUUCAGCGAUUGGCAAAUGGUCUCAGGACAGCUACAGCUUCAGCACAAACUCCCUCUUCAGUUUGGCAUCUGGUGACUUCCCUGACGUUCAGUGGCUAAUCUCAUCUUCCCUCUGGAGUGCGAGUACCAGUCCCCAAAGUGGAAACCUGUUUGGUCGCCGCAGGUUGGGAGGAAUCCAGUAGCUGUCUCACUUCUUCAUGAGAGGUCCGGAGGAUGCUGGAUACAAUUGACAUACUUCCAAAAAGAUCAGUGGGCUUACCAGUGGGAGCGUGUUUUGAAACUGGGCCACAUGCGGAAGAAGCUCUGUGCCCCUUGGCUGUGCAGAUGAUGGUGGCCGACGAGCACCUCCUGGGUGUCUGGCGCAACUCUGGACUCUGAACUUGCAAAAGGCCAGCUAUGAAGAUGAAUAAAGAGAACCUGGACAACUACCCAGGCAUGAGCCCAGCACACUGGCUUCAGUCAUCACUCUGCAGAUGGAGUAGAAAAGUGACCUUCAGCUCACCUCUGUACUCACAUCAAAUGACAACCGGGUCAAAUACGGACCUUCCACUGCUUUGUGUGGCAGGGAGGGCUUCGAUAAAUAACUUACCUUAGGGGAAAAAGGCAUAAAACCCAUGCCUGAGGCCACAAAGCUCCCCCUGUAAGUUAGCUCCUAGACGCAGGUGUUUUGAGCUGAUGCAGAAUUCAGUGCUGUAGAGAUGAUGAAGCCAAGAGAGGUGGGUGGAGGGAGAGUAGAUGACAGCCCAGCUGAGGAAGAAGGGGGAACCCUGAGGCCUCCAGGACUCAGAAGUCUGCUGUGAUACACCUUGGCCUUGGGCUGGCCCAUCUCAGUGAACUCCGGGACAGAACUGGCAGUCGUAAGGCUGAGCACAAGUGGACCCACGACCUCCGUGUUGAUAACUGAUUUUAAAGCUAUUAAUUUAAUCUUACAAUCAAAACGAAUGAAAAACACCAACACAAUGAAA
Piliocolobus tephrosceles (Ugandan red Colobus) is the source of this 1106-nucleotide long non-coding RNA. RefSeq lists it as uncharacterized. Lineage: Eukaryota; Metazoa; Chordata; Mammalia; Primates; Cercopithecidae. The transcript has 5 exons. The record is from RefSeq and is a predicted model, not a curated record.